GUAAGCUGGCGCCGGAGUUUUGUGCAGUUUACGUCAUAUCGAAGGGGAAGCCGGUGACGGUCAGGACGGCGAAAAGCCCACCUCCUCUUGCCGGUGUUCUUCCUCCACAACCGUCGGUUCUGGCUAGCCCUCAAAUGGCAGACCCUGAUGACUCGAUCAAGUAAGACAAGUCGGUGUUUUGAUCGUUAUCACCUGUUCAUGAAAGCAUGACAUGGAUGGGUAAAUGGCAUACCGUGCUGUUUUAGAACACCAUUCACGAGGGCGGGAUAUCGAGGGACAAUGGCACCGGGAACACCAGAUAGAAGGUCCUUCGAGAGGAACAUGGAUCAUAUAAGGACACCGUCGCGGGAGCGCCCGCUGUUGGGAGGCAGAACACCACCCGGCAACGUGUUGCUCGACGGCAUCGACUCUUCUCAUCGCCCGCCGAGGCCAUCCGCCUCGCGCGAUAUGAUCUUCGACGACCUGGACUUCCAGGGGGGCACCGGGUUCCAGUCCAUGGACUUCGGCUCGAUGGAGAUCUCAUCUACCUCGUCGGACAGCCCCAAGGGUUCCCUCUCCCCUACUUCAGGUGUAGGUGCUCCGAUCGUUGUUCUUGCGCACAUCUUUUAACGUCUGUUCCGC
RNAcentral lists this long non-coding RNA (621 nucleotides) under Musa acuminata (dwarf banana). RNAcentral describes it as "long non-coding RNA (MACU_LNC004341)". The record is from RNAcentral. Lineage: Eukaryota; Viridiplantae; Streptophyta; Magnoliopsida; Zingiberales; Musaceae.